RNAcentral lists this ribosomal RNA (460 nucleotides) under uncultured bacterium. Its description in RNAcentral is "partial 16S ribosomal RNA". It matches the Rfam family "Bacterial small subunit ribosomal RNA", at positions 338 to 795 of the family's 1533-position model. The record is from RNAcentral.
CCUACGGGAGGCAGCAGUGAGGAAUAUUGGACAAUGGACGAGAGUCUGAACCAGCCAUGUAGCGUGAAGGAUGACUGCCCUAUGGGUUGUAAGCUUCUUUUAUAUGGGAAUAAAAUGUUCCACGUGUGGGAUUUUGUAUGUACCAUAUGAAUAAAGAUCGGCUAACUUCGUGCCAUCAGCCGCGGUACUACGGAGGAUCCGAGCGUUAUCCGGAUUGAUUGGGUUUAAAGGGAGCGUAGGUGGAUUGUUUAGUCAGUUGUGAAAGUUUGCGGCUCAACCGUAAAAUUGCAGUUGAAACUGGCAGUCUUGAGUACAGUAGAGGUGGGUGGAAUUCGUGGUGUAGCGGUGAAAUGCGUAGAGAUCACGAAGAACUCCGAUGGCGAAGGCAGCUCACUGGACUGCAACUGACACUGAGGUUCGAAAGUGUGGGUAUCAAACAGGAUUAGAUACCCGUGUAGUC